Molecule: ribosomal RNA, 310 nt
Filed under: Salinivibrio kushneri
Lineage: Bacteria; Pseudomonadati; Pseudomonadota; Gammaproteobacteria; Vibrionales; Vibrionaceae
Description: bacterial LSU rRNA
Rfam family: Bacterial large subunit ribosomal RNA
Source: RNAcentral
GUUGUAUGGUUAAGUGACUAAGCGYAGACGGUGGAUGCCUUGGCAGUCAGAGGCGAUGAAGGACGUACUAACCUGCGAAAAGCGAUGGUGAGCUGGUAAGAAGCAUUUGAGCCAUCGAUGUCCGAAUGGGGAAACCCACCUGCAUAAGCAGGUAUCUUAGCGUGAAYACAUAGCGCUAAGAGGCGAACUCGGGGAACUGAAACAUCUAAGUACCCGAAGGAAAAGAAAUCAAUUGAGAUUCCGGCAGUAGCGGCGAGCGACCCCGGAGCAGCCCUUAAGCGGCUUAGGCGUUAGGUGAACAGGUUGGAAA